Molecule: ribosomal RNA, 429 nt
Filed under: Acidobacteriota bacterium
Lineage: Bacteria; Pseudomonadati; Acidobacteriota
Description: Acidobacteria bacterium partial 16S ribosomal RNA
Rfam family: Bacterial small subunit ribosomal RNA
Source: RNAcentral
UGGGGAAUUUUGGACAAUGGGGGAAACCCUGAUCCAGCCAUCCCGCGUGUGCGAUGAAGGCCUUCGGGUUGUAAAGCACUUUUGGCAGGAAAGAAACGUCAUGGGUUAAUACCCCGUGAAACUGACGGUACCUGCAGAAUAAGCACCGGCUAACUACGUGCCAGCAGCCGCGGUAAUACGUAGGGUGCAAGCGUUAAUCGGAAUUACUGGGCGUAAAGCGUGCGCAGGCGGUUCGGAAAGAAAGAUGUGAAAUCCCAGAGCACAACUUUGGAACUGCAUUUUUAACUACCGGGCUAGAGUGUGUCAGAGGGAGGUGGAAUUCCGCGUGUAGCAGUGAAAUGCGUAGAUAUGCGGAGGAACACCGAUGGCGAAGGCAGCCUCCUGGGAUAACACUGACGCUCAUGCACGAAAGCGUGGGGAGCAAACAGG